This is an RNA transcript of Boleophthalmus pectinirostris (great blue-spotted mudskipper), 3793 nucleotides long. It is a transcript of the gene named pyridoxal kinase-like, with no coding region annotated. The record is from RefSeq and is a predicted model, not a curated record. Lineage: Eukaryota; Metazoa; Chordata; Actinopteri; Gobiiformes; Gobiidae. The transcript is spliced from 14 exons.
UCCUUCACUGUCUACCCGCCCCCUGACAUCCUUAGACUGUACUGAUGCACUAUUGAAGUUUGUGGUUAGCUACGCGUUGACAAUAGGACCUGUGGGUUUAUCCGUGGUCCAAAUCAAACUGUGGGGUCGCUGUGCGCCUCGGCGCGCUCUCGCUCGUGUCAUCCCCAGCUCUGCUCAUCACGCUCCGGCUACACAGCUGCUUAGCACGCGGGCUAACCGCGCACAGGCUGGCGGUGUUGUGAUCCUGUCCUGCCUUUUAUCUCGUUGUUAUGUUCUGCCUCGCGUUCUGCUGAAACAGAAUCUCUGCCUCUCUCGUCAGCUGACCGGGAGCUGCCAUGGAGUGCCGUGUUCUGUCCAUACAAAGCCAUGUAGUCCGGGGAUAUGUGGGCAACAAGAGCGCGUCUUUCCCAUUACAGGUUUUAGGCUUUGAGGUGGACUCCAUUAACUCAGUGCAGUUCUCCAACCACACUGGAUACAGCCAUUGGAAAGGCCAGGUGUUGACGGCAGAUGAGCUUCAUGUUCUUUAUGAAGGAAUUAAACUGAACAACGUGCACCAGUAUGACUAUGUUUUAACAGGGUAUACCAGAGACACAUCGUUCUUAGAGAUGGUGGUAGACAUUGUUCAGGAGCUAAAGAGAGCUAACCCCAACCUGGUCUAUGUGUGUGACCCAGUCCUUGGUGAUCAUGGAUCUAUGUAUGUGCCACAGAAUCUAUACCCAGUCUACAAGAACAAGGUGGUUCCAGUAGCGGACAUCAUCACUCCUAAUCAGUUUGAGGCUGAGUUGUUGACUGGGAAGACUAUCAGCUCACAGAAGGAUGCUGUGGAGGUAAUGGACCUUCUUCACGCCAUGGGCCCUGACACAGUGGUCAUCACUUCAUCGGACUUGCCACCCAGAUUAGGAGACCGCUUCCUCGUGUCUCUGGGCAGCCAGCGCCAUGUUCAUCCAGAUGGCAGCCGGACGACUGAGAGGGUCCGAAUUGAAGUCCCAAAAGUGGAUGCUGUGUUUGUUGGAACUGGAGAUUUGUUUGCUGCUAUGCUGUUAGCAUGGACGCAUCACUAUCCUAAUGACCUGAAGACUGCGUGUGAGAAGACUUUUUCUGUGAUGCACCAUGUAAUCCAGAGGACAAUAUCUUAUGCUCAUGAGUUGGCAGGUCCCGGCCGAAGACCCAGCCCCCCACAGCUGGAGCUGCGCAUGGUUCAAAGUAAAGCUGACAUAGAAGACCCAGCUAUUGUUGCGGAAGCCACACUCAUAUCCUAACAUUACCCACCUCUAAGACUCAUAACGCCCGUGUUUGCGCCACCAUAGACCUCUUAAUGAAUUUACAUCAUAGUUUCUCUCAGCACUUCAUCUGUGAACCUGGAUGUUCCCACUUUAACAUUUGUCCUUUUAUCCUUUACACUAUCCCUUUAAGUCCGUAGUGUCCUUUCCCUUUAAAGAGGCCUUUGCCAAGAGCCCCAGUUUGUGAGCCAUAGUCAGAAAGUUUGUGAAUUUAACUAUUUUAGUGUGAACAAGUCCAAUUUCAGUAGUGCCAAUCUUUACAAAACAAAUUGCAAAAUAUACAAGUGUGUUUAAGCAAUCCCACACACAUGCAGAUACAUGAUUUCUAAUACCAUACGAAAUAUUAAAAAAUGUUGUAAGACAGACCAAACCCUUUCUUUCAAUGGCUCCACCCCUCAUCCUACUUAUCCUACUGCUGUGUUGUAAUAGUGACCAAGUCAUAUCCUUAGGAUUAAAUCCAAAACAAAUAGACAAAAAAAAAACGCACAAUGUAUAGUUGAUGUAUAGGUGUUGUACUGAAACUGUAUCAGACAUUUUGUCAAUGCUGUUUUACUAGAAACAAAUAGGAUCCACACAGUUGCUUCAGUGGCCUGUUGCAGCUCUCUCAUCUGGAAGUCUUCAUCUCAAUAUAAGUACAAGCUGCUGUAUCCACUAGGCAAGCACUGAGCCCAGAAGGCCAUAGCUAACAUGGACCACCGAAAAUGUGGAUCAGUAGAAGAGAAGAAAAAAAAAAAUCUACCAAAACCUAUGCUUCUACUAAAUCAGAAGAAUUCUUACUUAAAUUAAAGAGUUGUGUGAGUGAAUUUUGCCUUCUGUUGUAACACAAUGAUACAAGGCAAAUACUGAGUUCGUGUACAAUAGAGUACAAUGAUGUGGCCUCUGCAUAGUGUGACUUUCUGGGCCCAGAGCACCUCUGACACUGCCUCUGUCUCCUGCUCACUGAUAGAGUACUGACUAUAGACACAACAUUUGUACUUGGUUGAGUUUUGACACAAAUCAAAUUAAUUUCUCUCACUUAGUCAUGAUAAUGUUUGAAGAAAAUAAUGGGGAAAAACAUGCUUUUAUACUGUGUCCUUUUCCAUGCCUAGGGAGUUGAGUCACAUACAUUUUACAUAUUUGUACAUCAGUAUAACGAUAUACUGUAGCUCAUAUCUUAGCUGUGCUCUUGUGUGUUUAUGAGUGUGUACCUGUGUGUGUCUGUGUGAAUGUGACUGUAUCAUAUCAUUAUGGCUACAGGGUGUGUGUAUCUGUGUGUUAUGUUGAAGGGGCCUGUAACAUGAGGAGCUCUCACAAACCAUAGACCCGACCUAAUUUCAGUCAUUUUCAUGUUGUAUAACCCUGACAGCACUCACAGACAGGACUGUCCAUACAGUGCAUGGGGAAUGGUUCAACUCUACCUGUACGAUCGUUGUGGUGAAGGGACCAGUGUCUUGCAGCAUAGUGUGCCCUCUAGUGGUAGUCUUGCGUAACAGCAGGAAGCUGAGCCUAAUGAUGACAUCAAUGUGCACAACAUUAAAGAAUGUUCCUUGAAACAGGUACUCUCACUUGUGAAUGCUACUCCAGUCUCACCAGCAAAAUGCAGGGAGCAAAACACCAGUUAACUGAGCAUUCAGAAGGACAUGGCAAGGCUAAUUUUGAACUGGACUUGUAUGAUUUAAGCCGCUGUGCUGCCUGUUACAACCACAGACCUCGUUACACUGAUCAUGAGUCCAGUUCUUCAGAGGGUUCUGGGCCUGACACCGACUCUGAGUCCAGCUCCUGCAGCAGCUCAGAGAUGGACUUUGACGAACUGAGCACAUAUGACACAUCUGCACACUGCACUGUGGCUCCAGGCUCAUCUGUCCUGGAGAGCCCAGGCCCACCUGUCCUGGAGAGUCGAAGCUCACCUGUCCUGGCAAGUCCACCACCAGGGAGCGACUCAGCAGAGAGGAGGCGCACCAACAGGAGGACAGUCUCUGUGCGUUCUGAUAGUGUACUGCUGGAGACCCCCAAAGUGACUUCUGUCCUUAACCUACAGGUUUUACCUCCAAGACACACAUAUGACCCUCACUACACCAUCCGUCGCUGCCCAGAGGACAUGGGACCCUCAGUGCCACAUGAAAGAGGAGAACCUAGUCCAGUGGAGCCCACUGUACCAGUGCAGCAGACCCCGGUAAUGCCCCUCCAGAGUAAUGUCCACUGGCCUCAGUAUGUGUCUCUCCCAUCUCUGCUCCAGAGCGCUCCCUCCCCUCCUGUGCAAGCAGUGCACUUUGUUCCACAAUACAGCCAUACACAGGUGCACUAUGGGCCAUAUGAUCCUGCUCUGCUCCAUGGCCUGGGAUCAAGCCAAUCGUACUACCAACCUUUGGGACCACGGCAGUAGUUAUUUUUUAAAUUCUCAUUUGUCUCAUCCAUGAAUACAACAGUGUUGAAAUAUUUGGUCACAGUGAACUGUGUAUUCCUGUUCCUGUUUUAUGCAACAUUUUGUGGACCUUUAACCAUUGAAAAGUUAUAUUAUGUUUUUAAAUUGUUGA